Molecule: ribosomal RNA, 253 nt
Filed under: uncultured bacterium
Lineage: Bacteria
Description: partial 16S ribosomal RNA
Rfam family: Bacterial small subunit ribosomal RNA
Source: RNAcentral
UACGGAGGGGGCUAGCGUUGUUCGGAAUCACUGGGCGUAAAGCGCGUGUAGGCGGCUUGGCAAGUCGGGUGUGAAAUCCCGAGGCUCAACCUCGGAACUGCACUCGAAACUGCCUGGCUCGAGUCCCGGAGAGGGUGGCGGAAUUCCCGGUGUAGGGGUGAAAUCCGUAGAUAUCGGGAGGAACACCAGUGGCGAAGGCGGCCACCUGGACGGUGACUGACGCUGAGACGCGAAAGCGUGGGGAGCAAACAGG